This 465-nucleotide ribosomal RNA is filed under the name uncultured bacterium. Its description in RNAcentral is "partial 16S ribosomal RNA". It matches the Rfam family "Bacterial small subunit ribosomal RNA", at positions 28 to 507 of the family's 1533-position model. The record is from RNAcentral.
GACGAACGCUGGCGGCGUGCUUAACACAUGCAAGUCGUACGGUAAGGCCCUUUCGGGGGUCCACGAGUGGCGAACGGGUGAGUAACACGUGAGUAACCUGCCCACAACUUUGGGAUAACGCUAGGAAACUGGUGCUAAUACUGGAUAUGUGCUCCUGCUGCAUGGUGGGGGUUGGAAAGCUCCGGCGGUUGUGGAUGGACUCGCGGCCUAUCAGCUUGUUGGUGGGGUAGUGGCCUACCAAGGCGGCGACGGGUAGCCGGCCUGAGAGGGUGACCGGCCACAUUGGGACUGAGAUACGGCCCAGACUCCUACGGGAGGCAGCAGUGGGGAAUAUUGCACAAUGGGCGCAAGCCUGAUGCAGCAACGCCGCGGGCGGGAUGACGGCCUUCGGGUUGUAAACCGCUUUCAGCAGGGACGAAGCUUUCUGUGACGGUACCUGCAGAAGAAGCACCGGCUAACUACGUG